This 755-nucleotide long non-coding RNA is filed under the name Homo sapiens (human). RNAcentral describes it as "non-protein coding lnc-ACOX3-8:2". Lineage: Eukaryota; Metazoa; Chordata; Mammalia; Primates; Hominidae. The record is from RNAcentral.
ACCCGGCAGGCCUUGGGACUCUGGUCGGCCUGGUCGAGAAAACCCGAGGCUACAGACACGCAGGGGUCCUUUCUGGUGGGGACCCCCGGGCCCAGCCUAUCCCAGAAACGUUGGGGGAUGCGUUCUCCCCGCUCUGGAGGGGUCUGUCCGUGUCCAGUCUCCUCUGUGCCUCAGUUUCCUCCUCCAGGAAAGGGGAAUUGACAGCAUUUCUCAACCUCAUAGGGUCGUUGGAAGAACCACAGAGGCCAUGGCUGAGCAGUGUUCCCGAGUCCUCGCUGUCCACGGAACCGGAAGCUGUUUCCAUUCUCAUCAUUGCUCCUGCAUUUUCUGCAGGGCCCCUUCAGACCCAGGUCCCAUCACGAGAGUCAGAAUCUGGUGACAGUGCGUCAGCUGAUGGGGUGAAGGCUGCGGAGUUGUGAGAGAAGGCAGAACCCCCCUUGGAGGUGAAUGUCAAGCCUGAAGAGGAAGGAUGGGAAGCGGGAGCUGGCCGUGACCUGGGCAGAGGCUCCCAAGCAAAAGCAGGUCGGGGCAGCAGGAGAUAACGCCGCGCGCACAGCCUGGAGCUGCGGUCUUCACACUGUGUGUGUUCCUAGUACCCUGGGCUGCCUGGCGAAGCCUGGGUGUCCUUUUCAGAACGAUGUCGUCAAGUAGAUUUAAACGCAUAAAACAAAGACCAUGGGGUCACAAAGGGGAACAAUUCUAUCAAAACACAGUUAUCAAAAUACAUGAAACAAUUCAUGACAGCGUGGCCUAUG